This 255-nucleotide ribosomal RNA is filed under the name uncultured bacterium. Its description in RNAcentral is "partial small subunit ribosomal RNA". It matches the Rfam family "Bacterial small subunit ribosomal RNA", at positions 26 to 285 of the family's 1533-position model. The record is from RNAcentral.
AGGACGAACGCUGGCGGCGUGCUUAACACAUGCAAGUCGAGCGGAAAGGCCCUUCGGGGUACUCGAGCGGCGAACGGGUGAGUAACACGUGAGCAACCUGCCCUUAGCUCUGGGAUAGCUCCGGGAAACCGGAAUUAAUACCGGAUAUUACACCGGCUGGCAUCGGCUGGCGUGGAAAGAUUUAUCGGCUAAGGAUGGACUCGCGGCCUAUCAGCUUGUUGGUGGGGUAGAAGCCUACCAAGGCGACGACGGGUA